RNAcentral lists this microRNA precursor (157 nucleotides) under Picea abies (Norway spruce). Its description in RNAcentral is "miR11563 stem-loop (pab-MIR11563)". Lineage: Eukaryota; Viridiplantae; Streptophyta; Pinopsida; Pinales; Pinaceae. The record is from miRBase by way of RNAcentral.
UAAAGCUAGCCACAAAAGAUCAGAAAGAAGAAUCAAAGAAGACACUGACAGGUCUAUCUCCUAGUAUGAUUCCACACUUCAACAGACAUGAAAUUACUAGGCAAUUUCAGAUUCAAGCCCCAACAUUCUUCUUUCUGAUAUUUUGUGGCUAGCUUUA